UUACUUGAGCAAGGAUAGUGCAUUAGAUUUAGAAUCUAAUUAAAUAAGGGUUUCUUAUAAGUAAAAG
This 67-nucleotide transfer RNA is filed under the name Engaeus lengana. Its description in RNAcentral is "tRNA-Leu". The record is from RNAcentral. Lineage: Eukaryota; Metazoa; Arthropoda; Malacostraca; Decapoda; Parastacidae.